Molecule: long non-coding RNA, 10964 nt
Filed under: Brachypodium distachyon (stiff brome)
Lineage: Eukaryota; Viridiplantae; Streptophyta; Magnoliopsida; Poales; Poaceae
Description: long non-coding RNA (BDIS_LNC003396)
Source: RNAcentral
GCAUGAAUGCUUUGUACAAUUUUAGUACAAUAUAUUCCAAAGCCAUGAGCUUGAUUGUAUUUAUAGAUACAAAUAAUAUGCAUGUGCUUUCUUAUUGCUUGGCAUACUUUGUUAUGGUUUGACUUAUACAUCAUAUAUGCUCAUCCAUGGAUAGCCUCUUGCUUGCUAGCUAGUGAUACAUGUUAGUUGUUGCCUGUCCCUGUAUAUGCUAAUAUAAGGAUGCAUGUCAUUUAUUUGUUUAGCUUUGCCAUGUUUGUUAGUGCAUAUGUCCAUAUUAUCACAUGAUAGCCUAUUGUCACUGAAGGAGCAUAUGUAUUCUAGAGUGCUUUAUCCCUAUUAAUUAUUCUCACAUGAUAGCAUUGUUUGUUCUGACCUCCAUCAUGUAUAUGUUGGCUUGCAAAUGCCUAUAUUGUUUAGUUGCCUAUAGCUAAGAUGCAUCUCUUUGGUAUUAUCAUGCUCAUGCCACUAGCAUAGAUCCUAUGCUUGCUUGACUAGUAUAGAAUCAUGUGUGGCAUGUUUUACUCAUAAUUUAUCUGUUGUGAUUGUUCAUGCUUAAUUUGUAUUCAACCUUGACUUGAAUUAGAACUACUUCUGUUUUUUAUUUUAUUUAUUUUUAUCAUGUGUAGAGAGAAUUGUUAGCUUUGUAAGUCUCUCACUCAUCCUUGCUGUUGUAUGCCAGUUUGUAUAUUAUGCGAAUUGCUUGUUUAACUAGGAUGAUAGGAGUUUGAUUGCUGCUUGCAUGCUAGCAUAAUAAUGUGUGUUGCUUUGUCAUGGAGUGCAUUUACAAAUAUGCUUGAGAGUUAUCUUUGGUUAGUGGCAGCAUAGCUUUAUAGUUUAGUAUUUAUUAUUAUUAUACUAAAGGGUAUGACCAAUCAUAUAUAUCCUUCCUCUCGGAUAUAUAAUUAUACUUGUUAGAAUCUGUCCCACCAUCCAAUCCUAUCAAAGUUAUUCAUAUCGUUUCCAAACCUAUUGUCAGCCUCAUUGUUUAUUCGCUCUCUUAUUUCUAUUUCAUUUGACUUUAUUGCUUUUGCAUUUAUUUUGUUUGUUCUUGUUAUCGUUACGACAAAUAGAGAGUGACGAGGUGGAUCUGAGUGCGUCCAAUGACAAGUUUUGGGAUCGAUCUCUCAGUUCUGAGUGUGAUGCGAUCGCAACAAGGUAAGUAAAAGGGGAAGGCUCUGAAUAGAGGAGCAUAAUUAGUUUUAUUACGUACCGAUGGUACAAGAAGGUACUUAAAAAUGCAGAAAAAGGAAAACGAAUAGGUGAGAAACUAAAAAAUAAAAUCGAGUAAAAAAAGCCUGGCGCGUUGGCGGCACAAUUGCGUGGCAUUCCGCGCCUUGCUUCUUGAGUCCCCGGCUCUGGAUUGGAGUCUGAGGGGGAGGUUUUUGAUUCUCCUAUCCCGUAGUCGAGUUGGCUGAACAGCCAUGUCAAGUGCAACUGGGUGCACUGCUCCGGCGAAACUGGCUGGGCGCGGAGGCGGAGGAGGAGCACCGAUGGCUAGAGCUCCUGGUAUGGGAGGCAGCAAGGGUGCAUUGACUCCUUCGUUAGGGUAUGGAAGCAUCCCAGGUAGCUGUGAGAAGCCCGCACUUGUUGCCCACUGCUGUGUCCUGGCAAACUCAGCCUGCAGUUCCUUGGAGCGCCGGCACUCGGCUAGAGGGUGGCUUGGCUUGAUGUUGCCUUGCUCAUCCCUGUAGACGUGAAACGGGCAAGGGGAAGCUAGCUGCUGAGCAAGGGUUGGUUGAUUUCUUUUUCUCUGCCAUUUGUUGCCCACGCUUGUCACCACCUCGAAAACCUCCACCGUGAUUUCCGGUCUCCUAAGAGCCAAAAUCUGUCGGAGAGGCUGCCGCGAUGAAUUCAGGAGGGUGUGAUUCUUCGAAGGCUCGGUUUUUGUGCUCCUUCGUCGAUCGUGGCCACGAUCACCCUCUUCCUCUGGAGAUCGGUGGCGUUCAUUGCGAACCGAGUCUUCACCGUCAGCCCAUCGAUUUGUGGGCUGCACACAACCCAAUUCUUCCUUGAGUUCGACUCGUCGGAGUCCUCGUUUGAAGGCGUACAUGGCGCUUUCGUCGGAGACUUCCUCAGCAGCGUGUUUGGUGUUGGUCCAGCGCUGGAUGUACGAACGGAUGGAUUCUCCCUCCUUUUGAAUACAAGCUCAGAGUUGCUCGAUGUCGCACCAGUGGCACCCAGGGUACCACCGCUGCACGACGCGUGGGCCCCGUUCCCGGGUUCCCGGGAAGGUCUCAUCCCGAGGAGCGUCUAUGAGCUCCCCGGCAAGCUACCAGCCCGAAAGGGGCUCGCGGGGCUUCGGGGAAUAUUCCCGCCUGGGCACCUCCGGGAAACUGCUUCCCGAGAGGGGGUUCCCAGGUGCGUUGGGCCCGGGUGCUUCCCGGGGUCGACUUGCUGGGUUCCCGGGCGCGUGCCCCCGCCUCGGGCGUGGGGCCCAGUGGACAGCGCCACGCGGGCGCAAUGCGGGCGCGGGACGCGCGGUCCCACCAAGGCAAUGAGUAAGGCGCACGGCUCAGUAAACGAGCCGACCGACGGGUAGUUACCCGUCCGAUCCAAGGAACAGUGGUUGUCUAAUCCUACCCUAGGGUCCUAGGCCCCUAGCAGCAGAGGUGGCACCCAUGCACGCCACCAGCUCACCGGGGGAAGUUGCAUGCCUCCCCGUUGGACACUUGUAGCUCAUGCACCAUGGCACAUGUGGCAUCCCCUUGUGUAUAAAAGGAGGACCCAUGCCAACGGUCAAGGGGGUUAGUCAGUUGGUCAGUUAGUUGGUUCGGACGAAGCUCGCUCGAUAGAUGCUUAGUGGCUCCGGUAGGCAGCCAGCAGAGAGCGGUGAGGAGUGCCUAGCCACUGAGAGAAAGCCCGGGAGCUUGCCCGACAACCUGUAAACAUUUGAUCCGUAAUUAAUAUCAGCUCAGACAGGCAGGACGUAGGGUUUUACACCUCCGGGUGGCCCAAACCUAGGUAAAAAACGUGUGUGCAUAUGUUCUUGGACUAGCGCGCAUCCUUAGCACUUUGUCUCACCGGCCCCGUAGGGCCUCAUCAGCCGUGCCGACGAUCACCGAGUCUCCGCCCCAGACGCCCCUACCGAACCUAAAAGGGGGACGUGGCCGCACGCCCUCGGUGUCGGAGCACCGAGCGACGACAUCUGGCGCGCCAGGUAGGGGGCACGGGAGUGGACAACGCCGGAGAUCGCCGGCAGCAGAAGUUUCCAUCGGCGUCGGCUUCGCUCUUCUUCGCCGACGAGCCUAGUCACCAUGCCCCCCAAGCGGGCUGGUGACUCACGCAUAGACUCGAGUCGGGGGCUCAAGAGAACCCCGAGCCCUCUAGGGUGCAGCAAACGCAGCUGCCUCCGCCGCCUCCUCGGCCGUCGACCGACAAUCGGCCAAGGGGACCGGCUGCCCCCAGUGUCGGGGGCAGUCGGGCGAGCACGCACGACGUCGCUCGGGCCAGCCAACGGGUUGAUCGCGGCUCGAGGACGCCCCGCGGCAGCGGCACCAGGAGCACGCCGCGUCACGAGCAACCCCUGGGGGUUCGCACCCUGCACACCCGGAGACGUUCAGGAAACCGGCUGCCCCCCGUGCGAACCCCGGCUGAAGCCAUCGUCGCCGCGCGCGUCAUGGUGCGGUACGAGCCGCAGCAGGGCACGCCGGUGCACGAGACGUGGGGCAAGGAGUUGGAAGCGCUUCUCGCCCUGGCCGCCCAGCAGCCGCAAGGCGAGGGCGCCCCGGUGGGCUCCGGCCACGGGCAGAACCCGGAGCGCGGAGACGCGUCACCCGCCUCACGACAGGGGGAGAACCCUCCCCUUCCUCACCGAGGCCAAGGAGACGGGGGCCCGGAGGGGUCCUCGAACUCAUCGCCCACCGUUCCGGGGGGCGAUGCGCAUGGCAUCUUGAAUGCUCGCCAGCAGGAGGAUCUGCGCCAGCGCUUGGAGCGCUGGCACAGGCGCGAGGUGGAGCGCCAGCGCCCUUAGGAGCAAGAAGAUGCUCCCAUGGGCCCCGAGGACGGCUGCACCGCGUUCACGCGCGAUCUGCGGCGGGUGGCGUGGCCCCGUAAGUUCCGAGCGCCUGCGCUCAGUACGUACGACGGGACCGCUAACCCCAAGGAUUUUCUCCUGACCUACACGUUGGGCAUGCAUGCCAUCGGCGCUGAAGGGGAUCAAGCAGCGCCACGAGGAGCGCCGCGCCGCCGGCGCCUGCUUCAAUUGUGGCGACAUCGGGCAUCUCUCCUGAGAUUGCCCGAACGACCCCAGGGUGGGUCCGAGGCCGGCCGGCGGUGGUGCCGACAAGGGUGCCCCAAGGGGGGCGCGGCCAACCCCGCGCUAUGCGGGAACACCCUCCUCGGGGACGCGACAGGGCGCGUGCUGAGGAGCAGCGCGAGUCCGACUAUUCCGGCGGCAACGAACCGGGCUUCCAGGAGCCUCGUGGCGUCGCCUGCAUUCAUGGGGGAGCUUGCGCUCUCCCUUCCCACCCCGCGGUGAAGCGCCUCACCCGCGACGUGUGCGCGCUGUUGCCGGAUGCGGAACCGCAAUAGCCGCUGAGGUGGUCGCACGUGCCGAUCACCCAGCACGGCAGUUGGGUUCAGGGGUAAUACCCUUCGUCGUCUCGCCGAUCAUUAGCAAUAUGACGGUGACCAAGGUGUUGGUGGACAACGGAGCGGGGCUUAACCUCCUGUCCGCCAGGCUGGUGGAAAAGUUCCAGCUGCCGAUGGAGCAGCUGAAGCCCACCGAACCGUUCCGGGGGGUGAACCCCGGGAUCGUGUGCCCGCUGGAACGCAUCACGCUGCCGGUCACCUUCGGGUCCCGUGUAUCGUUCAGGACCGAGCACAUAGUGUUCGACGUGGCGCAUACCCCGUUGCGCUACAACGGGAUCCUUGGUCGGCCGGCGCUGAUCAAGUAAUGGCGGCUACGCAUUGCGCCUACGGCGUGAUGAAGAUGCCGUCCGUCUAUGGAGUCCUCUCCAUCAGGUGCGACCUCAAAGACGCGGCUUGGUGCGUUGGCGAGGUCGUCCGGGCCGCUGCUGCAGCUGACGCCGGCGACGAGGAUGUUCUCGAGGACGACGGCUUGCCGGGUGAUGCCCUGGCAACGAAGAAGUCCCGUGCCACCCCGCAAGGGCUUGCCGGGGGAGGUGCAGGCUCGGGCUCGCGCCCCGGCAAGGGGCAGGGGCUCCGGGAGGAGGCCACCAAAGUGAAGAAGUUGCCCCUCCAAGCCGGCGAUGAGGAGCGCACCGUUACCGUCGGUGCGAACCUGGCCGCCGAAUAGGAAAGCGCCCUCAUCACCUUCCUCCGGGAUAACGCCGAUGUGUUCGCCUGGCAAGCGUCGGACCUUCCCGGAGUCCCCAGGGAGGUGAUUGAGCAUCGGCUCGCGGUGUGCCCGGAUGCGCACCCCAUUAGGCAGAAGAUCCGGCGGCAAGCACAAGAGCGGAAAGAUUUCAUCAAGCAAGAGGUGGGCAAGCUUAGGGCUGCCAGGGCAAUCAGGGAAGUUUUGUACCCACUUGGCUGGCUAACCCUGUAGUAGUGCCUAAAGCAGGGAAUAAGCUUCGCAUGUGCGUACAUUUUACCGAUCUUAAUCGUGCAUGCCCCAAGGAUCCCUUCCCUGUACCCCGUAUCGACCAGAUAGUUGAUUCUACCACUGUUGUGAUUUGCUGAGUUUUCUGGAUGCUUUCUCCGGCUACCAUCAAAUCAAGAUGGCGGUCGAGGAUGAGGAAAAGACAGCGUUUAUCACCUCGGUUGGCUGCUAUUGCUAUACAUGCAUGCCUUUCGGGUUGAAGAACGCGGACUCCACAUUCCAGCGCGCCCUGCGCGAAUGUUUGGGCCCCCAGCUAGGCCGCAACGUGGAGGCCUACAUGGACGACAUCGUCAUCAAAUCGAAGCGUAGGGACUCGCUGGUUGAUGACUUGCGGGAGACAUUCGACAACCUCCGCAGGAUCAAGCUCAAGAUGAACCCUGAUAAGCGCACCUUCGGAGUCAACUCCAGGGAGCUUCUGGAUUUCUUGGUUUCACACCGGGGGAUACAGGCCAACUCGACAAAAAUAGAAGCCAUCCAGAAGAUGGAGGCCCCCCGCAAGGUGAAAGAUGUCCAACGCCUCAACGGCUGUGUUGCCGCGCUGGGACGUUUCAUCUCCAGGCUGGGUGAGCGUGCCUUGCCUUUCUUCCGGGUAAUGAAGAAGAAGGGUCCAGUCGACUGGACUCCCGAGGCCGAGGCAGCGUUCCAAGAACUCAAGCAGUACCUGAGGUCGUCGCCCAUCCUCGUCGCCCCCAAGCUGGGCGAGCCGCUGCUACUCUACCUAGUGGUGAUUGACCAGGUGGUCAGCUUGGUGCUGAUUGCCAAGAGGGAGGAAGACGUCCCGGGGACUGGGGCCGCGGGGCAGGGGGCGGGGCGGCCCUCGGCAACCGCCUCAGACCCGGGGACCGCCCCCGAGCCGGCAACCUCGGCACUGCGGAAGCGGUUGGUGCAGCACCCGGUGUACUUCGUUAGUACGGUGCUACGCGACGCGCGGACAAGGUACCCGCAAGUACAGAAGCUCCUUCUGGGGAUUCUCCUUGCGUCCCGCAACUGCGCCACUACUUCCAGGCGCACCGCGUCACGGUGGUGUCCGGGUUCUGCCUUGAGCGAGCCCUCACCAACCGUGAAGCCACCGGGAGGGUGGCCGAAUGGAGGAUGGAGUUGUCGGAGUUCGACCUCCACUUCGCCAACUCUAAAAGCAUUAAGAGCACGGCCCUGGCGGACUUCGUCGCGGAAUGGACGUCCACGGGCGUGGAAGAAAGUGAGCCGGAGACCAGCCUUCCCGGCAAGUUGGACGAGGGCCACUAGGUCCUCUACUUCGACGGUGCAUUCAGUCUUCAGGGAGCGGGCGCCGGGGUCGUCAUCGAGUUACCAACAGGGGACCAGUUGAGGUUCGCUGUUCAACUCGACUUCGCCAACUCCACCAACAACACGGCGGAGUACGAGGGCCUGUUUGCGGGGUUGCGGGCAGCGGUCGCCCUCGACAUUAAGCGCCUGGUUGUUUGUGGCGAUUCCCAGCUCGUAAAUAACCAGGUGAACAAGGACUACGAUUGCAAGCUGGAACGAAAGUUCAAAGGUUUGCGCUUUGAGCACGUCAAGCGGAAGGAUAACUUCGCUGCUUACGAGCUGGUCAAGAUGGCAGAAGAGCGCCGGAAGCCUCCAGCGGGGCUGUUCUGUCAGAAGCAAGUGGCUCCUUCAGUCACCCCGUGGUCGACCCUGCCUCGGUCGUCGAGGCCGUGGGGGCGGAGGUGUAGGCGGAACCGGCUCUCACGUCCGGCCCCGCUGUGACGGACACAGCGGCAGCAGAGGACACCGCCGCCGCCGUGACGGCACCUGGCGACGCGCCCGAAGCCGCGGACGUGGUCGACACGGGCUCACCUGUCGUCCAACAGGAGGCAACCCCCGCCGGAGGCAGGGAGCCUUCUCCAGCCCCGGGGUCCCCGAGCGCAGGCGCGGGGGAAGUUGCCGGGAAAGAACGGCAAGACCCCCGGGAGCAAAUCCACGACCCCGCGCCUAGCCCCACUUCGGCAGCAGGGGCUUCAUCAUCCUUGGGGGCUCGCCCGGGUACCUACCUCGGCACCCUCGCCGGGGUCGCUUGGAACCCCCUUACGUGGGAUCCGAGUGUCUUUGAGCGGGGGCACCGGUUCCUGGACGCCGUCCGGGACCAGCAAUUGGCCUUCGUCACCUCCUUCAACGAGGUGAGGGAGCACCACACCACCGCCAAGAAUCAACUCGGCGAGGGGCGGAAGGCCGUGGAGAGAGAGCGGCGCGAACUCUCCCGGCUGCGCGAGGCGACGCGCCUUGCCGAAGAGGAGGCGCGGCUGGCCCGGAAAGCCCUAGAGGCCGCUCGGGAGCCGGUAGUCCCGGAGACCGAGCUCCGUCGGCAACUGGAGGCCCAGCGCGUGGAGCUUCAAGGAAGGCUCGACACGAUGGCGGCCACCCUCGAGGCGGCCCGGAAGGAGCACGCCGAAGUGCUUGCAACGGCUCAGACGCGGCUGGAGGAGAAGAGCGAACUGAUCGCCAAUUACCAUGGCGAAAUCCAGGGCCUCCGCGUCUUGCUGGAGGUGCAGGUCAAGGAUGCCGAGGAUGCGGCGAGAAUGGCGGCUCGUCACGAGGCCGAGCUCAACUCCGCCAAAGACAGAGCGGCCAGGCUCGAGACCGAGUUGGCCGCCGUCCGGGAGGAGCUCGCCAAGGCCGGCGUGGACAAUGCGACCAAGGCCGCAGAGCUUGCGAAGCUGGAGGGCCGCGUCAGCAAGGCCAAGAAGGCCGCGCAGGAUGCCCGACUCCACCACGGCACGCUGAUCAGGAGGUCUUGAUUGCUUCCAGGGUGUUCGCCGGCAUGAGAGAACAGUUGUCCUCGAGUCGCAUUAUUUCGUAGAGUGUUGUCCUUUUGUGUGCACGGUAGCUUUCCUGCAUUAGAAAAAACAGAAAACAGUUUCUAAAAAAAAAAGGAAACAGAAAACUUGAAUGUUAUGAACCGGUGUUUGUCCCAAUAAUCUGGUAAGCCCAAUGAUAUCAUUAUAGUGCUUAGCGCGCCUGAACUUGGUGAGGGGCUUCAUGAGUUUUGUGCCGUCGUAGUUUCGCGCCAGGAAGGAGGCGCAUAGACCGGAGUCCUCGCGGCGCAUGAAAUUUAUGCUUACGGAAAUGUUGGCAAGAAGAAUGAACAGAUGCAUGGUGUAGUUUAGCUUACCUUGUAAAUUUGUCUGUCAUGAUUAUUGGGAAUCGCCUGGUCCAGUCCACAUGGCCGCAUGGCCAGCUGUCGAAAAACGAGCGCACGCAUCUGAAGAAGGCGUCUAUGAUACGAUCGGUAACGAGAUGGUGGAUAUUGACACGACGAUUUGAGAACCCAUAUGGUCCAGCCAUCGGAUCAAGGAUGUGGACGCAUCUAUCCUGCAUGUCAAGCGCAUAGACGCACCACCCCAACUCAAGGAUGGCUGGCACGGAGAACUAUACGUUUAGCAGAGCGGAAUCAGUUGUAGGCACAAUAGAAGGAAGACGUUCGCUGGGUUAGCAAAAAAAAUGGCUUGUCUUGAUUACCAUUCGGCAUGAGGUGACUGAGAACGCCUCGUGGUCGGCCAUGAACUGGUUAUGGGUGGACAUUAUAUCGAGCGGGUCCACACUCGACAAGACAAGGGUCUGGAGCAAAAUUAAUUUGUCAUCAAAUCGCAUGGCGCGUAUAUAAUAAAACGUAACAAGCCAAAUUGUAGUCCCGGAAGUGGGCUUACCGAGAAAUCCGGUUCUAGAAAUUUGCGCCAUCGCAACCAGUAUGAGUCCUUGGAUGAUUGGGCAUCUAUUUGGCUGAGACGACGCAUGAUUAGCGUGCCGAUUUCGUGUGUCAUGGGGUGGGACCCCACCAGUUGUUCUCUGAUCAUGGUUCCGUCGAUGCGCAGUGCUCGUGGCGUCCGAUGAUUGAUCCACAAACUGCUGGUGCAGUUAGGAAAUGGAAAAUAACAAGGAAUUUAUGAAUAUACGCGCAGUGUUCAUGGGGGUAAAAGGAAUUACCGUGUGAAAAUGGAGCCCGGUGCGCGAGUCAUCCAAUCAACAAUAGCUAUGGAUGCGGUCGUGGCAGGUCCGGUUGGGAAUGAACCAAUGGACCAAGGAUCCUGGGCGAAUUUGGCAGGUGUCGUGGACAUCAUGUUGGGGGAUGACAUGGUCCCCUGGCCAAACAAAGGAACUCCUUCGGUUGCAGUUUCUUGUGCGUAAGCAACUUUAAGAAUGGCGCACAUCUCGUCCGCGAAGUCCUGGAUCCUGGUUGCCAGCGUAUCUUCUUGAGGUUUGGGGUCGUCGCUUGAUUUGUGCGAGUUUGUUGGGUUCCUUCCGACUGAGCUGGCGGGGGAUUGUUGUGGACGAACAUUCGUAAAUACCGGCUGCUGUAUUUUUACGUUGCAGCCGUCUGUCGGGCGAAAGCAGACGGAGUUAGUCAUCAACAAUCAGGCACGUUAGCUUCCAAUGACAGUUUGUACUUGCCUUUUGACGUGUAAUUGUUGGAGUCGCGCUAGUUGGUACUGUUCUCGAGGAAAUCGCAUUGGGCUGAUCUCUUCUGUGUCAACGGGCUGUGGCCUGUAGAGCUCUCUGUUCAUAAUUUUUCAUCGCCGUUAAGCAGCUUUGCAUAACUGUGGAAGGGUUUGGGCAGUUUUAAUGGACGUACCGUCACAGUCAAGCGGGCUUGAAGGGCGUACGGGCAGCUUUGAAUCAUUUCGAGUGCGGUAAGAGCUCGGUGUUGUUGAGGGGUGGAAAUGGAAAAACAUUAGUAGUCGCUCUUUGUUUCAUGUAAAAAAGCGACGGCGUUUUAUUCAUAUACCUGCUAUGUUGCAUGUGUUGUGUGGAGGGUGGUUUGGUGCAUAACCCGAGACCGGUACAUAACCCAUGGUCUUGUCGGCGAAUGAAUACAUUUCCUCCUGACACUUGUUCUUGAACUCGUUGACGAAAAGGAUCAACCUAGCGUUAUGCUCCUUGAGUAGUAUGGCGGUCCGUGCUCCAGCCUGCGGAGAAGACAUGUGUUGCUGAUGGUUUCUUGAUGGCGGAAAUCAGUUUUUGCAUUAUCGCGGCUUACCUGAUUAGGGAAUUUUGUGCGUAGGUGGUUGGAGAAAUCAUUUGGUCCAGCCCUGGACACCAUGGUGGGCUGUGGGCCCCUCGUGUGUCCCAUCUAAUCCGGCGGUAAUUGCUGCAGAGGCUGCGCCUCGACGGGAUCUUGGACUGAUCGAGCUUGCUUGGACAGGUCUUCCUUGGGUACUGCGCUCGUUCGAAUCGGACUGCUGCAGCCAGUGCUCGGCCCAAUGCUCUGUACCGGUCAUGUGGACCCCCCACCCCCCAAAGAAGAAACGAUCAGUUCUUGUGAUACGUGUGGGAAUUUUGAUGGAUACAUUUAAGAUGGUGCGCAAACAAAACUAAAAAAUGACGCACCUGCGUGUGGUGGGAUGUUGGCGGGAAGAAUGUCGAACCCUGGUUUUCAGCAACAAGGUAA